RNAcentral lists this ribosomal RNA (505 nucleotides) under uncultured bacterium. Its description in RNAcentral is "bacterial SSU rRNA". It matches the Rfam family "Bacterial small subunit ribosomal RNA", at positions 18 to 518 of the family's 1533-position model. The record is from RNAcentral.
UAUGGCUCAGGAUGAACGCUAGCGGCAGGCUUAACACAUGCAAGUCGAGGGGCAGCGGGUCUAGCAAUAGAUGCCGGCGACCGGCGAAAGGGUGAGUAACGCGUGAGCAACGUGCCCGUAUGUGGGGGAUAGUCGAUGGAAACGUCGCGUAAUACCCCGUAACACAUUUGGCCGCAUGGCCUUAUGUUGAAAGAUUUAUUGCAUACGGAUCGGCUCGCGUGCCAUUAGGUAGACGGCGGGGUAACGGCCCACCGUGCCGACGAUGGCUAGGGGUUCUGAGAGGAAGGUCCCCCACAUUGGAACUGAGACACGGUCCAGACUCCUACGGGAGGCAGCAGUGAGGAAUAUUGGACAAUGGCCGGAAGGCUGAUCCAGCCAUGCCGCGUGCGGGAAAGACGGCCCUAUGGGUUGUAAACCGCUUUUGCGGGGGAGCAAUAAGAGUCACGUGUGGCUCGAUGAGAGUACCCUGCGAAUAAGCAUCGGCUAACUCCGUGCCAGCAGCCGC